This 245-nucleotide ribosomal RNA is filed under the name uncultured bacterium. RNAcentral describes it as "partial 16S ribosomal RNA". It matches the Rfam family "Bacterial small subunit ribosomal RNA", at positions 524 to 768 of the family's 1533-position model. The record is from RNAcentral.
UACAGAGGUAGCAAGCGUUGUCCGGAUUCACUGGGCGUAAAGGACGUGUAGGUGGCCUUUCAAGUCGGGUGUGAAAUCGUUCUGCUUAACAGAACAAUUGCUCCCGAUACUGUUUGGCUUGAGUGCAGGAGGGGAAAUUGGAAUUUCCGGUGUAGCGGUGAAAUGCGUAGAUAUCGGAAAGAACACCCGUGGCGAAGGCGGAUUUCUGGCCUGCAACUGACACUGAGGCGUAAAAGCUAGGGGAG